AGUUAAAUAAGCUAGAAGCUGCUGGGUUCAUACCUCAGAUAAGGAUUGAAUCUAUAAUAA
RNAcentral lists this transfer RNA (60 nucleotides) under Atypus karschi. Its description in RNAcentral is "tRNA-Met". Lineage: Eukaryota; Metazoa; Arthropoda; Arachnida; Araneae; Atypidae. The record is from RNAcentral.